UACAGGGGGUGCAAACGUUGCUCGGAAUUAUUGGGCGUAAAGCGCGCGUAGGCGGCCGCUUAAGUCGGAUGUGAAAGCCCCUGGCUCAACUGGGGAGGGUCACGCGAUACUGAUCGACUCGAAGGCAGGAGAGGGAAGUGGAAUUCUCGGUGUAGUGGUGAAAUGCGUAGAUAUCGGGAGGAACACCAGUGGCGAAGGCGACUUCCUGGCCUGUUCUUGACGCUGAGGCGCGAAAGCUAGGGGAGCAAACGGG
This 253-nucleotide ribosomal RNA is filed under the name uncultured bacterium. Its description in RNAcentral is "partial 16S ribosomal RNA". It matches the Rfam family "Bacterial small subunit ribosomal RNA", at positions 524 to 776 of the family's 1533-position model. The record is from RNAcentral.